GCCACUCUAGACUGUGACACAUGGAGGCUCCCAAUGGUCAUGGUUCAAACUAUCCCAAACUAUCCUUGUCUAUCUGAUUCCAUUGGAAGAACUAUAGGACAGAGGGUAAAGUUUAGCUACAGGAAUUCAUUUGCAAUGUGAUAGAUCGAGUUUGUGUUUCAGGAGGUGUCAGUGGGACCAUGAUAAUGCAUCUCAAAUGAUAACAGACCAGCAGUGAAUAUGGGAGCAAAUGAAGAGGACAUGGAGCUGGGGAAAAAAAG
Molecule: non-coding RNA, 260 nt
Organism: Cyanistes caeruleus (blue tit)
Lineage: Eukaryota; Metazoa; Chordata; Aves; Passeriformes; Paridae
Source: RefSeq, a predicted model, not a curated record